CCAUCUGACCCAAUUUUAUUUAAAAAAAGUAAAUAAUCUUUAAUAUUUCAAUUUUCUCCUAAGUCCCUCCCCUACCCUGUAGAGCUCAGCCAAUAUUUCUGCAAGCCUAACGCGUUGACCAAUAGCGCUGCGUUACCACCAGAGGUAGCUGUCAAUCAUCGAGCAUGAGCAGGUCUCAGCGUGCACAACAGUGUCACGCGCCUCACUCGGCUUACUGCAGAAACAUGGAGCAACAAAACCCCAAAUUACCGAUUCCUCGACUGCCUUCCACAUCUCAAAAAACAUUUAAAAAGUUUAAAAGCCCUUCUUCAAAAGUGGCUGUAAGACGUUUAAGACAGUCGAGUAGAAUUUACAUUGGAGAUUGUUUUAAACGAUGGAGAGAUUUUCGUGAUCUACACGGCCUGAAAACGGAUGAAGAGUUGGCAAAGUAUCUUUUGGACAGGACAUGUGGAUCGGUCUACUCCAUCAUGUGACUGGAGAACAUGAGUGGUCUCUGGAUGCUUGUCAGCAUGAUCCUUUACUAAGUGACAGAGAGAAAGACUGGAUUCAGAAAGUCUCCACUGCACACAAAGCCCUCAGUGACAUCAUUCUCAGUGAACGCUGGCUGAAAGAAGUCCCAAAAUAUUUGCAAUUCAGGUACUGUAUUUAAUUAUAGCUAUAAAUAAUAAUAUAAUUGUUCUAAAUGUUAAAUACUUGUUUUAGAUCUACAGCAAAUUUGGAGGCGUUUCACAACCAUCUCCUAAUGUAUGCAAGCAAAAGAUUCAGUUACAUCCCACCUGUUUACGAGGCACGGAUACUGCUUGCUGCACUGGACUACAAUCACCACUCACAUCGAGAAGUGAAGAGGAGAGCAGAUGGAUCGAUACAAUACCAUAUAAUAUUCAACAAAAAAUCAAGAUGCUGGAGGCUGUAUUCUGAGAAGGUGGCAAAAGACUACUCCUAAAUCCCAGAGAUCCAAACCAUGAUCGUCAACCAACGUUUGACAAGCAAGAAAGGUCUUCCUCAA
Non-coding RNA from Nothobranchius furzeri (turquoise killifish), 1006 nucleotides. The record is from RefSeq and is a predicted model, not a curated record. Lineage: Eukaryota; Metazoa; Chordata; Actinopteri; Cyprinodontiformes; Nothobranchiidae.